AUAAUGCAGUCGAGCGGACCGACGGGAGCUUGCACCCUUAGGUCAGCGGCGGACGACCGAGUAACACGCCGAACACCAGCCAGAACGACUGGCAUAACUCCGGGAAACCGGGGCAAAUACCGGAUGCUUGAUUGAACCGCAUGGUUCCAUUCUUAAAGCAGGCUCCUGGCUUCCCCAUUCCGAAGCGCCCGGGGCCGCUCUACUCCUUGGCCGAGCAACCGGUCCGGCAAGGAAACAAGCCUACCCCAACUGGGAAGGGGGACCGGCCCCCUGGGAAUGGAAACCCAGCCCAAAUCCUUCCGGAAGGCACCAUUCGGAAUCCUCCCGGAUGGAACAAAGUCUGAACGGACCACCGACUCUGGAUCGAGAAAGGUCUCCGAACCGCAAAAUCUGGUGGUAGGGAAGAACGAUUCCCUUCGAGUCGGGCGGCUACCUUGACGGGACCUUACCAGAACACACCGCUAACUACGUGCCAGCAGCCGCGGUAAUACGUACGUGGCAAGCGUUGUCCGAACGAUCGGCCGUAAAGCGCGCGCAGGCGGUCUCCUAAGUCUGAUGUGAAAGCCCCCGGCUCAACCGGGGAGGGUCAUUGCCGACUGGGGCACCUGAGUGCAGAGCACGAGACCGACAGUCCACGUGUAGCCCUGAAAUGCGUAGAGAUGUGCAGGAACAGCAGCGGCGCAGGCGACGCCCUGGUCUGUAACUGACGCUGAGGCGCCCAAGCGUGGAGAGCGAACAGGAUCAGAUACCCUGGUAGUCCACGCCGUAAACGAUGAGUGCUAGGUG
Molecule: ribosomal RNA, 786 nt
Filed under: Bacillus licheniformis
Lineage: Bacteria; Bacillati; Bacillota; Bacilli; Caryophanales; Bacillaceae
Description: bacterial SSU rRNA
Rfam family: Bacterial small subunit ribosomal RNA
Source: RNAcentral